This 494-nucleotide ribosomal RNA is filed under the name uncultured bacterium. Its description in RNAcentral is "partial 16S ribosomal RNA". It matches the Rfam family "Bacterial small subunit ribosomal RNA", at positions 28 to 507 of the family's 1533-position model. The record is from RNAcentral.
GACGAACGCUGGCGGCGUGCCUAAUACAUGCAAGUCGAGCGGACUUAAAAAGCUUGCUUUUUAAGUUAGCGGCGGACGGGUGAGUAACACGUGGGCAACCUGCCUGUAAGACUGGGAUAACUUCGGGAAACCGGAGCUAAUACCGGAUAAUCCUUUUCUACUCAUGUAGAAAAGCUGAAAGACGGUUUACGCUGUCACUUACAGAUGGGCCCGCGGCGCAUUAGCUAGUUGGUGAGGUAACGGCUCACCAAGGCGACGAUGCGUAGCCGACCUGAGAGGGUGAUCGGCCACACUGGGACUGAGACACGGCCCAGACUCCUACGGGAGGCAGCAGUAGGGAAUCUUCCGCAAUGGACGAAAGUCUGACGGAGCAACGCCGCGUGAGUGAUGAAGGUUUUCGGAUCGUAAAACUCUGUUGUUAGGGAAGAACAAGUACGAGAGUAACUGCUCGUACCUUGACGGUACCUAGCCAGAAAGCCACGGCUAACUACGUG